GUGUCAGCAGCCGCGGUAAUACGUAGGCAGCAAGCGUUGUUCGGAGUUACUGGGCGUAAAGAGUGCGUAGGCGGUUUUUUAAGUUUGGUGUGAAAUCUCCCGGCUUAACUGGGAGGGUGCGCCGAAAACUGGAAGGCUCGAGGAUGGGAGAGGCAUGCGGAAUUCCUGGUGUAGCGGUGAAAUGCGUAGAUAUCAGGAGGAACACCUGCGGUGUAGACAGCAUGCUGGACCAUUUCUGACGCUGAGGCACGAAAGCGUGGGUAGCAAACAGGAUUAGAUACCCUGGUAGUCC
RNAcentral lists this ribosomal RNA (292 nucleotides) under uncultured bacterium. RNAcentral describes it as "partial 16S ribosomal RNA". It matches the Rfam family "Bacterial small subunit ribosomal RNA", at positions 505 to 796 of the family's 1533-position model. The record is from RNAcentral.